Molecule: long non-coding RNA, 1956 nt
Organism: Anopheles stephensi (Asian malaria mosquito)
Lineage: Eukaryota; Metazoa; Arthropoda; Insecta; Diptera; Culicidae
Exons: 2
Source: RefSeq, a predicted model, not a curated record
AACACCAAGCAAUCGAGCAAUGACGCUGUUGUGUCGUUGAUGGCGUGUUGGAGAUCUGUUGAAAGAGAACAUUAAACAGGGAUAAGGGUUAGAGCUGUCGCCAAAACUGUCUAACAACUGCUUGUUGAGUGAAAAACAACAACAUUUUCUUCUCACUCUACUGAAUCGGAUCUAACGGUUACAAGCAGUCGGGUUAACGGCCCUCGGAAGAAAUGCUUCCCAUCGGCAGCACCAUCGGCUUCAAACGGUGAGCUUAAAGGCAGCAUAAAGCUCUCGCACAAAACAAAUCCUCUAUCUUCACCUCCAUCCGUUUCAUACCCUUGCCACUUUCGUACCACUUCCGAUACAGCUGUUUUGUAAAGGGGAGCAAAAAUGGUGUGCCCCCUUUUUUCUUCAACACUCACGCGGAGUCUGCCCGAGACACUCGCUGGAUGCACUCAGAGAUUGAGUUCCGCUCAUUUUGCCAGUGCUCUUUCGAGCUCCACACGCGAAGAGACAGAUCGACGCAUACAUAUGGUUCACCCCGUCAUCCCCAAAACCAUGUGGUGACGGUUGUUAUACUUGGCCGACAGUACAACCAGCAUAACACAACGUAACCACACUCACGACGGCUUCGUCGUCGUUGGACGCACCUCUGCGCGAGCGGUUCUGGCAAACAGCACAGACGAUGAUCAUGUGCACACCGAUGUAGGUCAAUGUUUUGCACUGACGGUACAAACGUGGGCAACAGCAAAGUGGAGAAGAAAAAAAAAGCACACAGUCAUCUAACAUGACUAAUCAACGACGAGGAGAGAAAGGUGGUACGAAACACCUUUGGUACGUAUGCGCGUGGCUACAAACAAACCAACUGCAAUGUAUACCGUUUAUUAGUGUGUGCCAUACGAAGCACCGUAUCCGAUGAUAAACAUUGUUGUAAAUAAAGGCAAAGAGGUGGUUUAAUUACAAUAUAAGUUAUAAUUGUAUAGCAUUUACAAUUUAGUAAUUGUUGAGCGCGCAACAGCUCGCUUGAAUGGAUUGAAAUUAGAAUCAGAAAAAUAGAUUUUUUUCUUUUCCGAUAUUUUUGAAUAAUAAUUUUGGAAAAUAUUUCAUUGCAAUUUAACUUCUUUACAAAAUAACAUCAAUCUUAGCUUCUCAAUAUUUGAAAUUAAAAUAAUGAACGUUUUUCAAAUGAUUGUCUGGCGUAUGUACAGUGCGUAACAUAAUUAUAUACUUUUAAUCUAUUUUAACAGAAGGGCAUCGAAUCCCAUCCAGACUUCCUGGACUUUGCCAGUAGCAUACAGUGCUAUACACAGUAAGUCUAGUCAGUCUACUCUAGUAAUCUAUAUCAUGGCCUAGCAGAUGGUUAAGACUAGAGGCAGAACAUUCUCACAAAAGGUAAUAAUGUUUUCUUAUUUCUUAUCGAAUUUCAUUUCUAUCGAAUUUAAACGAUUUUUUCCCGCAAUUGUUUAGAUUCUUAUGUUUAGUAUGUGUACUGAGGGUUAAACUACAUAUAAUGACUCACAUCCCAACGGGUUAAGUUACACUGUGGUAAUGAUCCGCUAAUAUACUACAUAUCAAUUAUUUGAAUUAAGUACACAACAUCCAUAAAUCCAUUCUCUAUGUUUUCAAAACUUAUCACAACAUCAUUCAAAACCUGUUACAACAUUUUUCUCAGAUUUUUUUUUCCAUUAAGGGGAAGUUAGAUUCUUCCCAUUCUUUAGCACUACAACCUCGAGAGGUCCUGGCCUGCCGUUACUGACUGAAUUGUACCAAUAGCUGGAUAGUUUUUCUUGCGUACGUGUAGUCCAUCGUGACGGGAUUUGAUAUCCGGUAAUCUACCGAAGAUCGAUGGUGCUACUAGCUCGACACCGAAUCGUCCUAAAUCUAGACCCUUCAAUGGUUUUCUGCAACAUUUCAAACUGUCAAAAAUGUGUUUUAUUAAAUUAUGAAAAAUUUAAGAUAUUUUCCAAAAUCUCA